CCUGUCUGUCAACCCCACACACGCUUUCCCAGUUUCAUUUUAGACGUCUCCUGAAAGCUGAGCAUUUGGUAUCUUAAAGCCUCUUACCAGUUUGGAUAGAUAUGGAUCUUCCAAAAUUAAUAAGCUCCUUAAUAUCGACACUGUUUAUCAACACAAAGGAUCAAUUUAGGAAGAUUAUAAAAACUGAAGUUUCCGGAACAAUAAAUGGGAGAAUUAAUCUUCUGAAUCAAGGAUGUAUCCCUGAAUCUGGGGAGCUCUCUAUCAAAAUAUACAUGCUGGAACCCCACCAAAGGAAUAAUAAAUCUGGAAUGAGGCUCUGACUGUCUAAUUAGGAAAAGACUCCUUCCUGGAAUUCUGCACAUCUCCCUACACCUUAGUGAUGGUUAAAUAAAUAAUUAU
This 399-nucleotide non-coding RNA is filed under the name Pan troglodytes (chimpanzee). Lineage: Eukaryota; Metazoa; Chordata; Mammalia; Primates; Hominidae. The record is from RNAcentral.